RNAcentral lists this transfer RNA (69 nucleotides) under Marmota marmota marmota (Alpine marmot). It matches the Rfam family "tRNA". From Rfam's summary of the family: Transfer RNA (tRNA) molecules are approximately 80 nucleotides in length. Their secondary structure includes four short double-helical elements and three loops (D, anti-codon, and T loops). The record is from Rfam by way of RNAcentral. RNAcentral also lists the same sequence under 1 other name. Lineage: Eukaryota; Metazoa; Chordata; Mammalia; Rodentia; Sciuridae.
GGGGUUGUGGCUCAGUGGUAGAGUGCUUGCCUAGCAUGCAUGAGGCAUUUGGCUCAAUCCUCAGCACCA